This 67-nucleotide transfer RNA is filed under the name Marmota monax (woodchuck). Its description in RNAcentral is "tRNA.Ala". Lineage: Eukaryota; Metazoa; Chordata; Mammalia; Rodentia; Sciuridae. The record is from RNAcentral.
GGUUGUAGCUCAGUGGCAGAGCACUUUCCUUGCACGUGUGAGGCACUGGGUUCGAUCCUCAGGACCG